GGAAGUAAAAGUCGUAACAAGGUUUCCGUAGGUGAACCUGCGGAAGGAUCAUUAAUGAAUGUAUAAAUGGCGAAGUUGAGGAAUUUGGGGGAAAAACAGCUGUCGCUGGCCUUGUAAUUGAGGCAUGUGCACGCUCCCUGAGGACCUCUUCGACGUCUAUCAUCUCAUCUCUCUCACCUGUGCACCUAAUGUAGGUCUGCAUGGUUUUGGUAAAACAGAACUGUGCUAGAGCCUCUCUCUCUGCUCUGCGGGGGGAAAGGACAAAGUACCUAUGUCUUCAAAAUACAUCUUCGUGUAGAAAGUCUUAGAAUGUUUACUAUCAUUGAGUCGCGACUUCUAGGAGACGCGGGUCUUUGAGUUAAAAGUUUAUUACAACUUUCAGCAAUGGAUCUCUUGGCUCUCGCAUCGAUGAAGAACGCAGCGAAACGCGAUAUGUAAUGUGAAUUGCAGAUCUACAGUGAAUCAUCGAAUCUUUGAACGCACCUUGCGCUCCUUGGUAUUCCGAGGAGCAUGCCUGUUUGAGUGUCAGUAAUUUCUCAACCCCUCUUGAUUAGCUUCAAGGGGGAGUUUGGAUAGUGGGGGUUUGCAGGAAACUUGGGCUUUGGCUUUCUAGUUAAAGUCUAGGAUUCGGGCUCUCCUGAAAUACAUUGGCUUUCGGUCGACUUUCGACUUUGCGUGACAAGGCUUUCGGCGUGAUAAUGAUCGCCGUGUGCUGAAGCGCAUGACUGUAAGGUUCCGUGCCUCUAAUAUGUCGACCAACUGAGUUGGUCUUCCUUAAUUGACUUUUUGACCUCAAAUCAGGUAGGACUACCCGCUGAACUUAAGCAUAUCA
This 832-nucleotide ribosomal RNA is filed under the name uncultured Rhizopogon. RNAcentral describes it as "eukaryotic LSU rRNA". The stretch from base 374 to 528 matches the Rfam family "5.8S ribosomal RNA". Lineage: Eukaryota; Fungi; Basidiomycota; Agaricomycetes; Boletales; Rhizopogonaceae. The record is from RNAcentral.